CACCGUCUCGAGUCGCUCCUGGAGAGUUUCCAGUCCUCUACCAGUCUCGACUACGGGAGGGAGAGCCAAGCAGAGGCCUACCCAUUCCAUUCCUAGCUUGGGCAGUGGCUAGUGAGUGGACGGCCAUCUGCUACAAGU
Molecule: small nucleolar RNA, 138 nt
Organism: Tachyglossus aculeatus (Australian echidna)
Lineage: Eukaryota; Metazoa; Chordata; Mammalia; Monotremata; Tachyglossidae
Source: RefSeq, a predicted model, not a curated record